UGGGGAAUUUUGGACAAUGGGGGAAACCCUGAUCCAGCCAUCCCGCGUGUGCGAUGAAGGCCUUCGGGUUGUAAAGCACUUUUGGCAGGAAAGAAACGUCAUGGGUUAAUACCCCGUGAAACUGACGGUACCUGCAGAAUAAGCACCGGCUAACUACGUGCCAGCAGCCGCGGUAAUACGUAGGGUGCAAGCGUUAAUCGGAAUUACUGGGCGUAAAGCGUGCGCAGGCGGUUCGGAAAGAAAGAUGUGAAAUCCCAGAGCUCAACUUUGGAACUGCAUUUUUAACUACCGGGCUAGAGUGUGUCAGAGGGAGGUGGAAGUCCGCGUGUAGCAGUGAAAUGCGUAGAUAUGCGGAGGAACACCGAUGGCGAAGGCAGCCUCCUGGGAUAACACUGUCGCUCAUGCACGAAAGCGUGGGGAGCAAACAGG
This 429-nucleotide ribosomal RNA is filed under the name Acidobacteriota bacterium. RNAcentral's name for it is "Acidobacteria bacterium partial 16S ribosomal RNA". It matches the Rfam family "Bacterial small subunit ribosomal RNA", at positions 355 to 776 of the family's 1533-position model. Lineage: Bacteria; Pseudomonadati; Acidobacteriota. The record is from RNAcentral.